AGAGUAAUAGCUCCGUGGUAGAGCACAUGCUUAGCAAGCGUGAGGUCAUGGGUUCAAUUCCCAGUACCUCCA
RNAcentral lists this transfer RNA (72 nucleotides) under Camelus bactrianus (Bactrian camel). It matches the Rfam family "tRNA". From Rfam's summary of the family: Transfer RNA (tRNA) molecules are approximately 80 nucleotides in length. Their secondary structure includes four short double-helical elements and three loops (D, anti-codon, and T loops). The record is from Rfam by way of RNAcentral. RNAcentral also lists the same sequence under 2 other names. Lineage: Eukaryota; Metazoa; Chordata; Mammalia; Artiodactyla; Camelidae.